UGUGAUUCCAUAAUACCAACAACUUCUAGAACACAUACCUUUGUGGAAACAAAUUUGAUGGCAACAUCAAAAGGAAAUACUGUUUCUAUAGUUACAGUUUCAUCCCGGUGGCAUUUGCAGAGGAUUUCUUUCCCUUCAACAGUCGUGUUGAUCAAGUAAGAGACAUAGACAAGAAACAUCCUUGCACCAACUGUUCCACAACGAAUGU
This 208-nucleotide long non-coding RNA is filed under the name Gallus gallus (chicken). Lineage: Eukaryota; Metazoa; Chordata; Aves; Galliformes; Phasianidae. The record is from RNAcentral.